Long non-coding RNA from Poecile atricapillus (Black-capped chickadee), 439 nucleotides. RefSeq lists it as uncharacterized. NCBI's taxonomy places the organism in Eukaryota, Metazoa, Chordata, Aves, Passeriformes, Paridae. The record is from RefSeq and is a predicted model, not a curated record. The transcript has 3 exons.
UUGGAAAAAUCAGCUGGGAAACAGAUGAGUUAGCCAAUAUUACACGAUGUAAUAUUAAGAAAGGAAGAUUAAACAUUACAUCUGCUGAGUCUCCCCCAUCAGCCAGUUCAAUGAAAUUGGAAACCAUGGACAUUUUUCAGCUAUUUACAGAGCUAAAGGCUCAAAGCCUUCAGAGAUGCUCUAAGUAUUAUAGAGGAAGGCAACCUGGACUCUGAAGUGGCUUUAUCAGAGUCAAGAGCCUUGAUGCAGCUGGAGCCUGCUCUAUUCAUUCUAUUCACCUGAAUACCUUCAGGACAAAGGAAGCCUACCACUGCAGCAGCAUAUUCCUGGUUGUCUCUAUAUGCUCUGCCAUAAAUGAGGACUGAUCAUGGUCAUCAACAACUAAGCAUAACACAGCAUUAUAAAAUGGAAUUCGCUCAAUCUCUCCAUGGCAUUUGCA